UUUAUUUUGAUUGAGUUAUUAAUAUGAGUUAUUGUUAUUAAUUUAAUAAUAUAAUUAAUAUAAUGAUA
Molecule: transfer RNA, 68 nt
Filed under: Ostrya rehderiana
Lineage: Eukaryota; Viridiplantae; Streptophyta; Magnoliopsida; Fagales; Betulaceae
Description: tRNA-Asn
Source: RNAcentral